This 434-nucleotide ribosomal RNA is filed under the name uncultured Oscillospiraceae bacterium. RNAcentral describes it as "partial 16S ribosomal RNA". It matches the Rfam family "Bacterial small subunit ribosomal RNA", at positions 341 to 792 of the family's 1533-position model. Lineage: Bacteria; Bacillati; Bacillota; Clostridia; Eubacteriales; Oscillospiraceae. The record is from RNAcentral.
ACGGAAGGCAGCAGUGGGGAAUAUUGGGCAAUGGGGGAAACCCUGACCCAGCAACGCCGCGUGAAGGAAGAAGGCCUUCGGGUUGUAAACUUCUUUUACCAGGGACGAUAAUGACGGUACCUGGAGAAAAAGCAACGGCUAACUACGUGCCAGCAGCCGCGGUAAUACGUAGGUUGCAAGCGUUGUCCGGAUUUACUGGGUGUAAAGGGCGUGUAGGCGGAGCUGCAAGUCAGAUGUGAAAUCCCGGGGCUCAACCCCGGAACUGCAUUUGAAACUGUAGCCCUUGAGUAUCGGAGAGGCAAGCGGAAUUCCUAGUGUAGCGGUGAAAUGCGUAGAUAUUAGGAGGAACACCAGUGGCGAAGGCGGCUUGCUGGACGACAACUGACGCUGAGGCGCGAAAGCGUGGGGAGCAACCAGGAUUAGAUACCCUGGUA